CGGGCCAAUUGCACAUCCCUAUGAUGGCGACUUUGCAUCCGUAAGUCAUCCAUAGCAACGUUCAAUGCCAGUUUCUGCGUCUUCCAUGGUGACUACGGGUAACUGGGAAUCAGGGUUCCAUUCCGUACAGGGACCCUGAGAAAUGGCUACCACAUGCAAGGAAGGCAGCAGGCGCGCAAAUGACCCACUCCCGAUGCGGGAAGGUAGUG
Non-coding RNA from Pelobates cultripes (western spadefoot toad), 209 nucleotides. The record is from the annotation of a GenBank genome assembly. NCBI's taxonomy places the organism in Eukaryota, Metazoa, Chordata, Amphibia, Anura, Pelobatidae.